GAUGAACGCUGGCGGCGUGCUUAACACAUGCAAGUCGAACGGAAAGGCCCUUCGGGGUACUCGAGUGGCGAACGGGUGAGUAACACGUGGGUGAUCUGCCCUGCACUUUGGGAUAAGCCUGGGAAACUGGGUCUAAUACCGAAUAGGACCACGCGCUUCAUGGUGUGUGGUGGAAAGCUUUUGCGGUGUGGGAUGGGCCCGCGGCCUAUCAGCUUGUUGGUGGGGUAAUGGCCUACCAAGGCGACGACGGGUAGCCGGCCUGAGAGGGUGACCGGCCACACUGGGACUGAGAUACGGCCCAGACUCCUACGGGAGGCAGCAGUGGGGAAUAUUGCACAAUGGACGCAAGCCUGAUGCAGCGACGCCGCGUGAGGGAUGACGGCCUUCGGGUUGUAAACCUCUUUCAAUAGGGACGAAGCGCAAGUGACGGUACCUAUAGAAGAAGCACCGGCCAACUACGUG
RNAcentral lists this ribosomal RNA (462 nucleotides) under uncultured bacterium. RNAcentral's name for it is "partial 16S ribosomal RNA". It matches the Rfam family "Bacterial small subunit ribosomal RNA", at positions 28 to 507 of the family's 1533-position model. The record is from RNAcentral.